GGGUGACAGGUGGUGCAUGGUUGUCGUCAGCUCGUGUCGUGAGAUGUUGGGUUAAGUCCCGCAACGAGCGCAACCCUCGCCUCUAGUUGCCAGCAUUCGGUUGAGCACGUCUAGCGAGACUGCCCGGGUUAACGGGAGGAAGGUGGGGAUGACGUCAAAUCAUCAUGCCCCUUAUGUCUAGGGCUACACACGUGCUACAAUGGUGAGAACAAAGAGAGGCAAGACCGCGAGGUGGAGCAAAUCUCACAAAACUCAUCCCAGUUCGGAUUGCAGGCUGAAACUCGCCUGCAUGAAGCCGGAGUUGCUAGUAAUCGCGAAUCAGCAUGUCGCGGUGAAUACGUUCCCGGGCCUU
This 352-nucleotide ribosomal RNA is filed under the name uncultured Clostridium sp. RNAcentral's name for it is "bacterial SSU rRNA". It matches the Rfam family "Bacterial small subunit ribosomal RNA", at positions 1029 to 1382 of the family's 1533-position model. Lineage: Bacteria; Bacillati; Bacillota; Clostridia; Eubacteriales; Clostridiaceae. The record is from RNAcentral.